Molecule: microRNA precursor, 102 nt
Organism: Vigna angularis (adzuki bean)
Lineage: Eukaryota; Viridiplantae; Streptophyta; Magnoliopsida; Fabales; Fabaceae
Source: Rfam
ACCAACACGAGGUGUUGGAACGGUUCAAACUGACCUUAGCUUCAAUCAUUCACCUUUGAUUCUCUGGUCUGAUUGAGCCGCGCCAAUAUCGCGUGCCUUUUC